CUACGGGGUGCUGCAGUGAGGAAUAUUGCACAAUGGGGGGAACCCUGAUGCAGCAACGCCGCGUGGAGGAUGACGCAUUUCGGUGUGUAAACUCCUUUUAUAUGUCAAGAAAAUGACGGUAGCAUAUGAAUAAGCACCGGCUAACUCCGUGCCAGCAGCCGCGGUAAUACGGAGGGUGCAAGCGUUACUCGGAAUCACUGGGCGUAAAGGACGUGUAGGCGGGUUGGAAAGUCAGGUGUGAAAUCCUACAGCUUAACUGGAGAACUGCACUUGAAACUUCUAAUCUAGAGUAUGGGAGGGGGAGAUGGAAUUAGUGGUGUAGGGGUAAAAUCCGUAGAUAUCACUAGGAAUACCUAAAGCGAAGGCGAUCUCCUGGAACAUUACUGACGCUAAGGCGUGAAAGCGUGGGGAGCAAACAGGAUUAGAUACCCCAGUAGUC
This 439-nucleotide ribosomal RNA is filed under the name uncultured bacterium. Its description in RNAcentral is "partial 16S ribosomal RNA". It matches the Rfam family "Bacterial small subunit ribosomal RNA", at positions 339 to 795 of the family's 1533-position model. The record is from RNAcentral.